GACUCCUUGGGGUAGCGCGUUCGUCUCCAAAGCGAAAGGUUGCGUGUUCAAAUCACGUAGGGGUCA
This 66-nucleotide transfer RNA is filed under the name Rhizoclosmatium globosum. It matches the Rfam family "tRNA". Rfam says of the family: Transfer RNA (tRNA) molecules are approximately 80 nucleotides in length. Their secondary structure includes four short double-helical elements and three loops (D, anti-codon, and T loops). Lineage: Eukaryota; Fungi; Chytridiomycota; Chytridiomycetes; Chytridiales; Chytriomycetaceae. The record is from Rfam by way of RNAcentral.